CGGGGUGAGUAAUGUCUGGGAAACUGCCUGAUGGAGGGGGGUAACUACUGGAAACGGUAGCUAAUACCGCAUAACGUCGCAAGACCAAAGAGGGGGACCUUCGAGCCUCUUGCCAUCGGAUGUGCCCAGAUGGGAUUAGCUAGUAGGUGGGGUAACGGCUCACCUAGGCGACGAUCCCUAGCUGGUCUGAGAGGAUGACCAGCCACACUGGAACUGAGACACGGUCCAG
RNAcentral lists this ribosomal RNA (229 nucleotides) under uncultured bacterium. RNAcentral's name for it is "partial 16S ribosomal RNA". It matches the Rfam family "Bacterial small subunit ribosomal RNA", at positions 104 to 334 of the family's 1533-position model. The record is from RNAcentral.